GGAUCAGACUGGCUUGUUUGGGUCACCGGUGCCAAGUUUUUUCUUUCUUUUUCUUUUUUUCCAAUAAGAAUCUACGUCUGAGCAUGGACGGAAUCCCAGAAUCAAAUCACUGGAUCAAUACUUGGUCACCAAACACAUUCGAGACCUCAAAAGCUCAAAGGCUGUAGGGUAGGUACCCUUGCUACCUACUCUACCUACAGACAAAGACGCUGAGAAAUCAGAUAACUUGUCCAAGGUCAUGGACAGCUGGGACUAGACCCAUGGCUUGUCACACUCUACCAGCCUUAUUCUUAACCUCUCUGCCUGAUGCCUCUUGACCCACAUUCGACUUUGAAAAAGUUUUCGCACUUGGUUCAUCGGAAAAAGCCACACACAGCUGCCCGGAGGACUCUGUUAAUCAGUAGCUGGUUGCUUCUGGCCCAGUGGGCAACAUCAGAGGCAGAAAGUACAGUACAGAGAGAACCGCAGGCCAGCAGUUGCAUCUGAACCCACGCUCUUCCUCCCAGCCCUUUCCCUUGUCUUGACUCACAACCUAGUGUCCUCAGUAUCGCCCAGCACGUGAGGCAGCCGGUUCACUCCAGCCUUGACCAGGGCCAUCGCGGGAUCAGAGCCUCCUC
Molecule: long non-coding RNA, 617 nt
Filed under: Homo sapiens (human)
Lineage: Eukaryota; Metazoa; Chordata; Mammalia; Primates; Hominidae
Description: HSALNT0290206
Source: RNAcentral